This 253-nucleotide ribosomal RNA is filed under the name uncultured bacterium. Its description in RNAcentral is "partial 16S ribosomal RNA". It matches the Rfam family "Bacterial small subunit ribosomal RNA", at positions 524 to 776 of the family's 1533-position model. The record is from RNAcentral.
UACGUAGGGGGCAAGCGUUGUCCGGAUUUAUUGGGCGUAAAGAGCGUGUAGGCGGCCUGGAAGGUCAGCUGUGAAAACUCGAGGCUCAACCUCGAGACGCCGGUGGAAACCAUCAGACUAGAGUCCGGAAGAGGAGAGUGGAAUUCCUGGUGUAGCGGUGAAAUGCGCAGAUAUCAGGAAGAACACCCGUGGCUAAGGCGGCUCUCUAGUACGGUACUGACGCUGAGACGCGAAAGCGUGGGGAGCGAACAGG